RNAcentral lists this ribosomal RNA (484 nucleotides) under uncultured bacterium. RNAcentral describes it as "partial 16S ribosomal RNA". It matches the Rfam family "Bacterial small subunit ribosomal RNA", at positions 30 to 507 of the family's 1533-position model. The record is from RNAcentral.
AUUGAACGCUGGCGGCAGGCCUAACACAUGCAAGUCGAGCGGAUGAAGGGAGCUUGCUCCUGGAUUCAGCGGCGGACGGGUGAGUAAUGCCUAGGAAUCUGCCUGGUAGUGGGGGAUAACGUCCGGAAACGGGCGCUAAUACCGCAUACGUCCUGAUGUUGAACGUGGUGGAUCUUCGGACCUCACGCUAUUAGAUGAGCCUAGGUCGGAUUAGCUAGUUGGUGGGGUAAAGGCCUACCAAGGCGACGAUCCGUAACUGCUCUGAGAGGAUGAUCAGUCACACUGGAACUGAGACACGGUCCAGACUCCUACGGGAGGCAGCAGUGGGGAAUAUUGGAUAAUGGGCGAAAGCCUGAUGCAGCCAUGCCGCGUGUGUGAAGAAGGUCUUCGGAUUGUAAAGCACUUUAAGUUGGGAGGAAGAGCAGUGAGUGAAUACCUGGCUGUUUUGACGUUACCAAAAGAGUAAGCACCGGCUAACUACGUG